GAUGAACGCUGGCGGCGUGCCUAAUACAUGCAAGUAGAACGCUGAAGGAAGGAGCUUGCUCUUUCCGGAUGAGUUGCGAACGGGUGAGUAACGCGUAGGUAACCUGCCUGGUAGCGGGGGAUAACUAUUGGAAACGAUAGCUAAUACCGCAUAACAGUAGAUGUUGCAUGAUAUCUACUUAAAAGGUGCAAUUGCACCACUACCAGAUGGACCUGCGUUGUAUUAGCUAGUUGGUGAGGUAACGGCUCACCAAGGCGACGAUACAUAGCCGACCUGAGAGGGUGGUCGGCCGCACUGGGACUGUGUCACGGCCCAGUCUCCUACGGGUGGCAGCAGUAGGGAAACUUCAGCAAUGGGCGGAAGUCUGACCGAGAUACGCCGCGUGAGUGUAGAAGGUCUUCGGAUCGUAGAGCUCUGUUGUAAGAGAAGAACGAGUGUUCGAGUGGAAAGUUCCCCCUGUGACGGUAUCUUACCAGAAAGGGACGGCUAACUACGUG
This 497-nucleotide ribosomal RNA is filed under the name uncultured bacterium. RNAcentral's name for it is "partial 16S ribosomal RNA". It matches the Rfam family "Bacterial small subunit ribosomal RNA", at positions 28 to 507 of the family's 1533-position model. The record is from RNAcentral.